UUAAGCGACUAAGCGUACACGGUGGAUGCCCUGGCAGUCAGAGGCGAUGAAGGACGUGCUAAUCUGCGAAAAGCGCCGGCGAGGUGAUAUGAACCUUUGACCCGGCGAUGUCCGAAUGGGGAAACCCAGUGUGAUUCGUCACACUAUCGUUAACUGAAUACAUAGGUUAACGAGGCGAACCGGGGGAACUGAAACAUCUAAGUACCCCGAGGAAAAGAAAUCAACCGAGAUUCCCCCAGUAGCGGCGAGCGAACGGGGAGCAGCCCAGAGUCUGAAUCAGCUUGUGUGUUAGUGGAACGGUCUGGAAAGUCCGACGGUACAGGGUGAUAGUCCCGUACACGAAAGCACACAGGCUGUGAACUCGAAGAGUAGGGCGGGACACGUGGUAUCCUGUCUGAAUAUGGGGGGACCAUCCUCCAAGGCUAAAUACUCCUGACUGACCGAUAGUGAACCAGUACCGUGAGGGAAAGGCGAAAAGAACCCCGGCGAGGGGAGUGAAAAAGAACCUGAAACCGUGUACGUACAAGCAGUGGGAGCACCUUCGUGGUGUGACUGCGUACCUUUUGUAUAAUGGGUCAGCGACUUAUAUUCUGUAGCAAGGUUAACCGUAUAGGGGAGCCGAAGGGAAACCGAGUCUUAACUGGGCGUUAAGUUGCAGGGUAUAGACCCGAAACCCGGUGAUCUAGCCAUGGGCAGGUUGAAGGUUGGGUAACACUAACUGGAGGACCGAACCGACUAAUGUUGAAAAAUUAGCGGAUGACUUGUGGCUGGGGGUGAAAGGCCAAUCAAACCGGGAGAUAGCUGGUUCUCCCCGAAAGCUAUUUAGGUAGCGCCUCGUGAACUCAUCUUCGGGGGUAGAGCACUGUUUCGGCUAGGGGGCCAUCCCGGCUUACCAACCCGAUGCAAACUACGAAUACCGAAGAAUGUUAUCACGGGAGACACACGGCGGGUGCUAACGUCCGUCGUGAAGAGGGAAACAACCCAGACCGCCAGCUAAGGUCCCAAAGUCAUGGUUAAGUGGGAAACGAUGUGGGAAGGCACAGACAGCCAGGAUGUUGGCUUAGAAGCAGCCAUCAUUUAAAGAAAGCGUAAUAGCUCACUGGUCGAGUCGGCCUGCGCGGAAGAUGUAACGGGGCUAAACCAUGCACCGAAGCUGCGGCAGCGACACUAUGUGUUGUUGGGUAGGGGAGCGUUCUGUAAGCCGUUGAAGGUGUCCUGUGAGGGAUGCUGGAGGUAUCAGAAGUGCGAAUGCUGACAUAAGUAACGAUAAUGCGGGUGAAAAGCCCGCACGCCGGAAGACCAAGGGUUCCUGUCCAACGUUAAUCGGGGCAGGGUGAGUCGACCCCUAAGGCGAGGCCGAAAGGCGUAGUCGAUGGGAAACAGGUUAAUAUUCCUGUACUUGGUGUUACUGCGAAGGGGGGACGGAGAAGGCUAUGUUAGCCGGGCGACGGUUGUCCCGGUUUAAGCAUGUAGGCGGAACGAUUAGGUAAAUCCGGUCGUUUAUUAACGCUGAGGUGUGAUGACGAGGCACUACGGUGCUGAAGUAACAAAUGCCCUGCUUCCAGGAAAAGCCUCUAAGCAUCAGGUAACAUCAAAUCGUACCCCAAACCGACACAGGUGGUCAGGUAGAGAAUACCAAGGCGCUUGAGAGAACUCGGGUGAAGGAACUAGGCAAAAUGGUGCCGUAACUUCGGGAGAAGGCACGCUGAUAUGUAGGUGAAGCCCCUGCGGGUGGAGCUGAAAUCAGUCGAAGAUACCAGCUGGCUGCAACUGUUUAUUAAAAACACAGCACUGUGCAAACACGAAAGUGGACGUAUACGGUGUGACGCCUGCCCGGUGCCGGAAGGUUAAUUGAUGGGGUUAGCGGCAACGCGAAGCUCUUGAUCGAAGCCCCGGUAAACGGCGGCCGUAACUAUAACGGUCCUAAGGUAGCGAAAUUCCUUGUCGGGUAAGUUCCGACCUGCACGAAUGGCGUAAUGAUGGCCAGGCUGUCUCCACCCGAGACUCAGUGAAAUUGAACUCGCUGUGAAGAUGCAGUGUACCCGCGGCAAGACGGAAAGACCCCGUGAACCUUUACUAUAGCUUGACACUGAACACUGGUCCUUGAUGUGUAGGAUAGGUGGGAGGCUUUGAAGCGUGGACGCCAGUCUGCGUGGAGCCGACCUUGAAAUACCACCCUUUAAUGGCUGGUGUUCUAACGUAGACCCGUAAUCCGGGUUGCGGACAGUGUCUGGUGGGUAGUUUGACUGGGGCGGUCUCCUCCCAAAGAGUAACGGAGGAGCACGAAGGUUAGCUAAUCCUGGUCGGACAUCAGGAGGUUAGUGCAAUGGCAUAAGCUAGCUUGACUGCGAGAGUGACGGCUCGAGCAGGUGCGAAAGCAGGUCAUAGUGAUCCGGUGGUUCUGAAUGGAAGGGCCAUCGCUCAACGGAUAAAAGGUACUCCGGGGAUAACAGGCUGAUACCGCCCAAGAGUUCAUAUCGACGGCGGUGUUUGGCACCUCGAUGUCGGCUCAUCACAUCCUGGGGCUGAAGUAGGUCCCAAGGGUAUGGCUGUUCGCCAUUUAAAGUGGUACGCGAGCUGGGUUUAGAACGUCGUGAGACAGUUCGGUCCCUAUCUGCCGUGGGCGCUGGAGAAUUGAGGGGGGCUGCUCCUAGUACGAGAGGACCGGAGUGGACGCAUCACUGGUGUUCGGGUUGUCAUGCCAAUGGCACUGCCCGGUAGCUAAAUGCGGAAGAGAUAAGUGCUGAAAGCAUCUAAGCACGAAACUUGCCCCGAGAUGAGUUCUCCCUGACCCUUUAAGGGUCCUGAAGGAACGUUGAAGACUACGACGUUGAUAGGUCGGGUGUGUAAGCGCAGCGAUGCGUUGAGCUAACCGAUACUAAUGAACCGUGAGGCUUAACCUU
RNAcentral lists this ribosomal RNA (2903 nucleotides) under Enterobacter cloacae. RNAcentral describes it as "bacterial LSU rRNA". It matches the Rfam family "Bacterial large subunit ribosomal RNA". The record is from RNAcentral. Lineage: Bacteria; Pseudomonadati; Pseudomonadota; Gammaproteobacteria; Enterobacterales; Enterobacteriaceae.